RNAcentral lists this ribosomal RNA (2964 nucleotides) under Saprolegnia parasitica CBS 223.65. RNAcentral's name for it is "partial 28S ribosomal RNA". The stretch from base 1 to 270 matches the Rfam family "Eukaryotic large subunit ribosomal RNA", at positions 3137 to 3401 of the family's 3401-position model. Lineage: Eukaryota; Oomycota; Saprolegniomycetes; Saprolegniales; Saprolegniaceae. The record is from RNAcentral.
AGAAUCCAUGCUGGAAUAGACGAUAAUCACCUUUCCUGAUGUACAAAGAAUAACUAUAGGUACACUCCUGUGUAUCCAACAUCAUAAAAUUGCAACGCACUCGGUCGGCCCUCAAAUAUGGCAGGCUGAGAGUAUGCUGAAACACAAUUUCAAAUAUUGGGAAAGAUAAAUCCUUUGUAGACGACUUAAAUACAAAACCAAGUGUUGUAAGCAUGAGAGUAGUCUUUGCACUACGAUCUGCUGAGAUUUAGCUUGUGUUUUACGAUUUGUUCAGCAAUGAACAUUUCUCCCCCCAUCAACAAUCAAACAAAGCAAUCUAGCCCAUCAAGCAUUGUAUUAACAAUGCUAGGCGGCUUUGCUAUAAAGGUGCGCAAGGCGUCUAGGUCACGUAAGAGUUUCGACAAGUCAUUGGUUUCUCGCAAGGUAGCCUAAGUCGUCAUAGUACAAGCUCAAAUCGGCCAAGUGUUCAAUACUUGGCCAGGCGACUCUAUACACGGACCAAGGAGCUUUCAUCAGUGCUACUACUACUUGUUGUAUUUCAACAAGUGUAGUCGUGCUGAUGAAAGCAUCAGGGUGGGUACCAGGAUUCUCUGCAAGUACUUAGCAGUAGGGUCUGCAGUAGGGCCAAAAUUGGAGUAGAGCAAUAAUUUCAGGUUUUGGCUCUGCUGAUGCCUGCAGGCAUUCUAGUUGGUAGGUAGUAGUCCCUACUAGCGACUCCAAGUGUCGGGACAUCUAUCAGAGCUCUUGGUGAAAUACAGGGCGAGUCCAUGCCUGCAGUAGGGCCAAAAUUGGAGUAGAGCAAUAAUUUCAGGUUUUGGCUCUGCUGAUGCCUGCAGGCAUUCUAGUUGGUAGGUAGUAGUCCCUACUAACGACUCCAAGUGCCCAGGCAUUCAUCAGAGAUGCUGGUGAAAUACACGGCGAGUCCAUAGAUCCUGCAGUGGGGCCAAAACUGGGGUAGAGCAAUAAUUUCAGGUUUUGGCUCUGCUGAUGCCUGCAGGCAUUCUAGUUGGUAGGUAGUAGUCCCUACUAACGACUCCAAGUGCCCAGGCAUUCAUCAGAGAUGCUGGUGAAAUACACGGCGAGUCCAUGCCUGCAGUAGGGCCAAAAUUGGAGCAGAGCAAUAAUUUCAGGUUUUGGCUCUGCUGAUGCCUGCAGGCAUUCUAGUUGGUAGCUAGUGGUCGCUACUAACGACUCCAAGUGCCGAAAAAACUAUUGGCGUCAUCGGCGAAAUACGCCAGCAGUCGGAAUUUGGGCCCACUACAGCCAGAACUUGUUUAGGGCCAUAAUUUCUGGUUUUGACUUUUAUUUUUUUGUCACUGGUCCUAGAUGUGCCUAUAGGUGCCUAGUAACGACUCAAGCGUCAAAAACUUAUUGGGUCAAUCGGCGAAUUGAUAAGCGAAAACGCGGAAAUGAGCCCGUUUUGCGUGCAUCCUCUACUGGCUUGCUACUGGAAAACGACGAGAAUUUUGAUUUUUUUUUUAAAGUUUAAUGUUUGGCCUUGGAUCGUGGCGCCGAAUAAAACUUUUUGUUUUAUUACGCUCCCGCCGGCCCAAUUCCACUACUGCCUUGCUACUGGGCGCGGCUCGGUUUGGCAAUAUUUUUUUGGAAAAAUCAAUGUUUGGUGAAAAUUUUGCCUACUGCCUUGCUACCGGGCGGCGACCGCGGGAAUAAAACUUUUUGUUUUAUUACGCUCCCGCCGGCCCAUUUGCACUACUGCCUUGCUACUGGGCGCGGCUCGGUUUGGAAUAAUUUUUCUCCAAAAAUCAAUGUUUGGUGAAAAUUUUGCCUACUGCCUUGCUACCGGGCGGCGACCGCGGGAAUAAAACUUUUUGUUUUAUUACGCUCCCGCCGGCCCAUUUGCACUACUGCCUUGCUACUGGGCGCGGCUCGGUUUGGAAUAAUUUUUCUCCAAAAAUCAAUGUUUGGUGAAAAUUUUGCCUACUGCCUUGCUACUUGGCGUCGAAUUGGAAUUGGUUUGGAAUUCACCAAGAUCGUAUUACUGACUUGUACCCGGACGUUAGCUAUGAAUUGGUUUGGAAUUCACCAAGAUCGUAUUACUGGCUUGUACCCGGACGUUAGCUAUGAAUUGGUUUGGAAUUCACCAAGAUCGUAUUACUGGCUUGUACCCGGACGUUAGCUAUGAAUUGGUUUGGAAUUCACCAAGAUCGUAUACUGGCUUGCUACUAGGCGUCGAAUUGGAAUUGAACCAAAUUCACCAAGAUCAUACUACUGCCUUGCUACUAGGCGUCGAAUUGGAAUUGAACCAAAUUCACCAAGAUCAUACUACUGCCUUGCUACUAGGCGUCGAAUUGGAAUUGAACCAAAUUCACCAAGAUCGUACUACUGGCUUGUACCUGGACGUGAAAAUGAAAUCUCGUCUAAAAUGUCACUACUGGCUUGUUACUGAAGCAGUAGCAGUGCAGUAGUGGUCGAAAUGCCCGAUUUGGCCAGUUUUGCUAUCGUAAAUGGAUCUCGAUAGCAGCGCGCACUCUGAAAAAUGCAUUCUUGUACCCAAAUCUAUGCACAGGGCUGCAGUAGUGCCUGCCAGUAGCAGUUUUGAGCCAAAUUCGUCAAGUUGGCCGGAAAUUUUUUUUUUGGUGACAAGAUAGCAAAUUGUCUAGAAUGGUUAUAAAAGUGAGUUACAUAGUCCAUAGUGUCGUAUUUAGUGAGAAAACAGCAAAACACGGAUCGGGAAUCGAUCUGUGCACGGAUCAAAGUGCUCGAAAUGGACUGCAGAUAGCAUAUCUAGUCGUCUUAUGCCUAGUCUAGCACAGAAAUAUAGUUUAGUCGCACUCUGCAAACGAUAAUUUGGCAGUUCACUUUUCGAACGGCCCUUAUGCCUGUAAAAAAGUGAACUGCCAAAUACGAUGGAAAAGGCGGCCGUUCCAGAAUCGGCCAUAUUAGCCUGACUAGACUGCAUCCCGUCCGCUCUGCAAAGUUACAGGCUCAGCGUGGGUAGUACUC